This 253-nucleotide ribosomal RNA is filed under the name uncultured bacterium. RNAcentral's name for it is "partial 16S ribosomal RNA". It matches the Rfam family "Bacterial small subunit ribosomal RNA", at positions 524 to 776 of the family's 1533-position model. The record is from RNAcentral.
UACGUAAGUGGCGAGCGUUAUCCGGAAUUACUGGGCGUAAAGCGUGCGUAGGCGGUUUAGUGUGUGGGAAUUGAAAGCCCGGGGCUCAACUCCGGAUCCGGUUCCCAAACUGCUAGACUCGAGUGUAUCAGAGGACAGUGGAAUUCCCGGUGUAGCGGUAAUAUGCGUAGAUAUCGGGAGGAACACCAGUGGCGAAGGCGACUGUCUGGGGUAUUGCUGACGCUGAGGCACGAAAGCCAGGGGAGCGAACGGG